Molecule: long non-coding RNA, 906 nt
Filed under: Callithrix jacchus (white-tufted-ear marmoset)
Lineage: Eukaryota; Metazoa; Chordata; Mammalia; Primates; Cebidae
Description: lncRNA (ENSCJAG00000082360.1)
Source: RNAcentral
AUGUUUAUUUUAAGGGGCAGUUUUCCUGCACAAUCCCUCUUCUUCUCUCAUCUGCUAAGAUGUGGGACAUCCCUUUCACCUUCUGCCAUGAUUGUGAGGUCUCCCCAACUACGUGGAACAACAGAGUUCCACUCCUGUUGCCCAGGCUGGAGUGCAAUGAAUGGCACGAUCUCGGCUCACUGCAACCACCACCUCCCGGAUUCAAGCGAUUUUCCUGCCUCAGAAUCUAGAGCUGGGAUUACAGGCACCCACCACCACACCCAGCUAAUUUUUUGUAUUUUUAAUACAGACACAGUUUCACCAUGUUGGCCAGGCUGGUCUUGAACUCCUGACAGCAGGUAAUCUGCGGGGGACAUCCCAAAGUGCUAGGAUUACAGAUGUUAGCUACCGUGCCCAGGUCAAUAUCAUUUAUUAAAAAGACCAUCCUUUCCUCGAUUUAUUGCAAUGUCACUGUAAUUAACCAGGACAUCAUAUAUGUGUAAGUCUGUUUAUGGAUUUUCUCUUCCAUUACACUGGCCAGUAUGUCUAUCAUUGUGUCAGUAUCACACUAUAUUAAUCACCAUAAAUUGAUAAUGAUUGUUGGUAUCUGUUAGUAUGCGUCCUCUAGCUUUUUCACUCUUCAGGAAUGCCUUAAUAAUUCUUGCCCAUUUACAUUUCCAUAUCCAUUUUAGAGUCAGCUUUUCAAUACACACACCCCUGCUGGGAUUUUGAUUAAGAUUGAUUGAAUCUGUUGAUUAGAUUUAGAGAAAUUGGCAUGUUUAUAGUAUUGAGUCUUCCAGUCCACAAAUACGGCAUAUUGUUCACUUUAUUUAGAUCUUUAAUUUCCUUCAAUAAUGUUUGUAGAUUAUAAUGUAGACAUUUUCACAAAUGUUGUUACAUUUAACUUCUAAGCACUUUGAUUCUUCC